AUUGAACGCUGGCGGCAUGCCUUACACAUGCAAGUCGAACGGCAGCACGGGAGCAAUCCUGGUGGCGAGUGGCGAACGGGUGAGUAAAGUAUCGGAACGUGCCCAGUCGUGGGGGAUAACGUAGCGAAAGUUACGCUAAUACCGCAUACGAUCUAUGGAUGAAAGCGGGGGAUCGCAUGACCUCGCGCGAUUGGAGCGGCCGAUAUCAGAUUAGGUAGUUGGUGGGGUAAAGGCUCACCAAGCCGACGAUCUGUAGCUGGUCUGAGAGGACGACCAGCCACACUGGGACUGAGACACGGCCAAGACUCCGACGGGAGGCAGCAGUGGGGAAUUUUGGACAAUGGGCGAAAGCCUGAUCCAGCCAUGCCGCGUGCAGGAUGAAGGCCUUCGGGUUGUAAACUGCUUUUGUACGGAACGAAAAGGUUUGGCCUAAUAAGCUGAGCUCAUGACGGUACCGUAAGAAUAAGCACCGGCUAACUACGUGCCAGCCGCCGCCGUAA
RNAcentral lists this ribosomal RNA (500 nucleotides) under uncultured bacterium. Its description in RNAcentral is "partial 16S ribosomal RNA". It matches the Rfam family "Bacterial small subunit ribosomal RNA", at positions 30 to 523 of the family's 1533-position model. The record is from RNAcentral.